GAUGAACGCUGGCGGCGUGCUUAAUACAUGCAAGUCGAGCGAACAGACGAGGAGCUUGCUCCUCUGACGAUAGCGGCGGACGGGUGAGUAACACGUGGAUAACCUACCUAUAAGACUGGGAUAACUUCGGGAAAGCGGAGAUAAUACCGGAUAACAUGUUGAAGCGCAUGGUUCAACAGUGAGAGACGGUCUUGCUGUCACUAAUAGCUGGAUCUGCGCUGCAUUAGCUAGUUGGUAAGGUAACGGGUUAUCAAGGCAACGAUGCGUAGCCGAGCUGAGAGGGUGAGUGGCCAGACUGGAAGUGAGACACGGUCCAGAGGCCUACGGGAGGGAGCAGGAGGGAAUCGGCCGGAAUGGGCGAGAGCCUGACGGAACAGGGCCGCGGGAGGGAGGAGGAACGCCGGGUCGGGAAUGUCGGUUAUCAGUGAAGAACCAAUGUCGACGUAACCAUGCACUUCUUGACGGUACCGAAUAAGAAAGCCACGGCUAACUACGUG
This 497-nucleotide ribosomal RNA is filed under the name uncultured bacterium. Its description in RNAcentral is "partial 16S ribosomal RNA". It matches the Rfam family "Bacterial small subunit ribosomal RNA", at positions 28 to 507 of the family's 1533-position model. The record is from RNAcentral.